RNAcentral lists this ribosomal RNA (466 nucleotides) under uncultured bacterium. RNAcentral describes it as "partial 16S ribosomal RNA". It matches the Rfam family "Bacterial small subunit ribosomal RNA", at positions 28 to 507 of the family's 1533-position model. The record is from RNAcentral.
GAUGAACGCUGGCGGCGUGCUUAACACAUGCAAGUCGAACGAUGAAGCCCAGCUUGCUGGGUGGAUUAGUGGCGAACGGGUGAGUAACACGUGAGUAACCUGCCCUUAACUCUGGGAUAAGCCUGGGAAACUGGGUCUAAUACCGGAUAGGAGCGUCCACCGCAUGGUGGGUGUUGGAAAGAUUUAUCGGUUUUGGAUGGACUCGCGGCCUAUCAGCUUGUUGGUGAGGUAAUGGCUCACCAAGGCGACGACGGGUAGCCGGCCUGAGAGGGUGACCGGCCACACUGGGACUGAGACACGGCCCAGACUCCUACGGGAGGCAGCAGUGCGGAAUAUUGCACAAUGGGCGCAAGCCUGAUGCAGCGACGCCGCGUGAGGGAUGACGGCCUUCGGGUUGUAAACCUCUUUCAGUAGGGAAGAAGCGAAAGUGACGGUACCUGCAGAAGAAGCACCGGCUAACUACGUG